RNAcentral lists this ribosomal RNA (253 nucleotides) under uncultured bacterium. Its description in RNAcentral is "partial 16S ribosomal RNA". It matches the Rfam family "Bacterial small subunit ribosomal RNA", at positions 524 to 776 of the family's 1533-position model. The record is from RNAcentral.
CACGUAGGGCGCGAGCGUUGUCCGGAAUUAUUGGGCGUAAAGAGCUCGUAGGCGGCCUGUUGCGUCCGCUGUGAAAGCCCGGGGCUUAACCCCGGGUCUGCAGUGGAUACGGGCAGGCUAGAGGUAGGUAGGGGAGACUGGAAUUCCUGGUGUAGCGGUGGAAUGCGCAGAUAUCAGGAGGAACACCGAUGGCGAAGGCAGGUCUCUGGGCCAUUACUGACACUGAGAAGCGAAAGCAUGGGGAGCGAACAGG